Molecule: ribosomal RNA, 801 nt
Filed under: Pyura gibbosa
Lineage: Eukaryota; Metazoa; Chordata; Ascidiacea; Stolidobranchia; Pyuridae
Description: SSU rRNA
Rfam family: Eukaryotic small subunit ribosomal RNA
Source: RNAcentral
CCAUUCCCGACACGGGGAGGUAGUGACGAAAAAUAACAAUACAGGACUCUAACGAGGCCCUGUAAUUGGAAUGAGUACAUUCUAAAACUUUUAACGAGUAUCCAUUGGAGGGCAAGUCUGGUGCCAGCAGCCGCGGUAAUUCCAGCUCCAACAGUGUAUGCUAAAGUUGUUGCGGUUGAAAAGCUCGUAGUUGGAUCUAGGGCGGGCGCCGCCGGUCCGUCGCAAGGCGUGUCACUGGCGGCGUGUGCCUUGCCUUCGGUUCUCCGUCGGUGCUCUUGACUGAGUGUCGGCGGUGGCCGAUAAGUUUACUUUGAAAAAAUUAGAGUGUUCAAAGCAGGCUGUUCGCCUGCAUAGUGUUGCAUGGAAUAAUGGAAUAGGACCUCGGUUCUAUUUUGUUGGUUUUCGGAGCACGAGGUAAUGAUUAAGAGGGACAGACGGGGGCGUCCGUACUCUGCCGUUAGAGGUGAAAUUCUUGGAUCGGCGGAAGACGAACUACUGCGAAAGCAUUCGCCAAGAAUGUUUUCUUUAAUCAAGAGCGAAAGUCAGAGGUUCGAAGACGAUCAGAUACCGUCCUAGUUCUGACUAUAAACGAUGCCAACUAGCGAUCGGGAGGCGUUACCAUGACGACCUUCCCGGCAGCUUCCGGGAAACCAAAGUCUUUGGGUUCUGGGGGAAGUAUGGUUGCAAAGCUGAAACUUAAAGGAAUUGACGGAAGGGCACCACCAGGAGUGGAGCCUGCGGCUUAAUUUGACUCAACACGGGGAAACUCACCCGGCCCGGACACAGGAAGGAUUGACAGAU